This is a long non-coding RNA of Phyllopteryx taeniolatus (common seadragon), 4539 nucleotides long. RefSeq lists it as uncharacterized. Lineage: Eukaryota; Metazoa; Chordata; Actinopteri; Syngnathiformes; Syngnathidae. The transcript has 5 exons. The record is from RefSeq and is a predicted model, not a curated record.
GACACGUCCAGGGUUCCUCCGCCAAGGUCCACCACUAGCACGCUGAAGACAUCCACCUUGUGAAGGCCGUACGCCAUGGCGGCCGCCGUCGGCUCGUUGAUCACACGCAGGAUCUCCAAGCCUGUGAAUCAGUUAUCAUGCACCGAGAUGACGGCUUUGUGGACGGGCACGCCAAGUUGCCGCUCGGCCAUCUUCCUCAUCUUCAGCAGCAGCCUGGAGCCAAUAAACUCCGGAGUCACCGUGAACGUGACGUUGGUGGUGAUCACAAACUCAGCACUCCCGUUGUUGGAGAUCACCUGGAAAAACCAUGUAUCCAGCCCACCUUGAAAGGAUAGCGGCUGCUCUCCUGCUCGAGCGAAUGCGGAGCAAAGAUCUUCCCGAUGAACCGCUUAGCGUCGUAAAUGGUGUUCCGGGGGUUCUUGUCGGCCACAUCCACAGCGUCGUGCCCAGCCAGCACCGUCGUGUUGGUGAAGGAGAUGGUACUCGGGAUGCUCCUCCUGUCCUCCUCGUCUGCUAUCACCUCCACCUCUCCGCUACCCGGGUGGAACACGCCCACGGAGCAAAAGGUGGUGCCCAGGUCCAGACCGAUCACUUUGGGCUUGGGUGGGGGAAACUAAGGUUGUUGCUGAUGGAAUAUAUUGCUUUUGAGCUGUCAGGAGAGCUUCUGCAUUGGUUUGAAUGAUGAGGUGAUUUCCCUCCUUUGCUGUCCCCUCUGUGCUUCGUCCUCUUCAUCACUACAAAAAAAGAGAGAGUUUUGAAGAAAAAAGUAGCAUCAAUCACCUAUUUGCCAGAUGAAAAUGGCGUCCAUCGAGCCAUUUUCACUUAUUAUCCUGUGCACUUCAGAAUUUUUUUUCUAUUUGUAUAUGCAGUAAUAGAUCAUUAUUCCACAUUGCAGAGUUCUACACAGUUUUGAUUAAAUGUCUCCUAAAGGGAAGGACGGGGGAGAGGAGCCCCCUGCGGAGAGCCCAAAUGAACAUUGACCUAUAGUUCAGCUUAACUGAUUUAUUCCCUAUUUACCUUCAUUGUGGUUGUUGGCAAUGUGGACUAAAUCUUCUGGGCUCUUGGCAGCCUUCCAAAGCGCCACAUUAUGAACAGCGUUAUCUGUUUAGCAGGGUGAACAAGUCACAAAUGUGGAGGAAAGUCAGGGUGAACUGAGCACGGUCAAAAGUGGAAAGUCUGCAGAGUAGGUCAUUUCUGGGUUUAAUCUGAAUACAGCGGAACCUCUACAACAAAGUACUCCUGCUGCACUGUUUUUAUGUUUUAAGUGGUUAACUUAUUUUUGCACUCGUGUAACUAGUACACACCUUUGCAAUUUGCCAUUGGAUGUGUCUUACUGUUUUAACAUCUUUAAUAUGAAGAGUGUUUAUCUUGUUUAUACACUUGGAAGACUGUUAAAAAUGUGACUAAUAUUUUGCCUGUACAGCUUCGACAGGUUUUAUGAUGGUGACAGUUUAACCAUUGGAAUUGAUGAUUUCUUUUUUUCCAUGAUUUCUUGUUAGAAAAUUGUCCAACCUGAGAGGUUCCACAGUAUUUAUGUUUUUAAAAUGUAUUUCAGAUUAAAACAACAGUAACAACACCAUUUUACCUCAGUAAAAAAGUGAACUGAUUGAACUCACCCAGCGUUUCAUUGUCUGAUGCGGAUUUGGAUACUUGUGUUCUGAAAGUAUAGUUAACAGACAAAUCAAUUACCAAGAUUAUUGUUAUUUAUUUUAUUUUUGUAUAUACUGGUAUUCAUUUAAAAUUAUGGUGUGUAAAUUCAACUGCAUAUUUAUUAGAUGGUCUUAAAAAAUCCAGAAAGGAGUGGUUCUUAGAAAUAAAGGCACCGGUAUAUUGGAGAGUCUAGGGACUAAAUAGGUGGGCUUUCAAUCCGCUUAGUUCAACUACCCCAAAGCCAUAAUCCCCUUGAUCUAUAUUCUGUAUUACCCUGACCAUGAAAAACUAAGUCUUUACAACUUGCAAUGUAUAACUUUCAAUGAAGCUGUCAGUGUGCCUCCUGUAGGCCUCUUGCAGACAAGAUGAGGGAAGGAUGUGGUGUGAUAGGGUUGCUUAUUAAGAAGCUGUCUGCUGUGCUGCGGGGUUUACAGUAUUAGCGUCCCGAGAACAUAAACAUAGAGCCUUCAAGCCUUGUGGGAAACCCUUUUGGCUUGCACGUUGGCACGCACAUUCCACAAUGAAGAGCACGUAGGCACGAGCCUGCAUGCUAGGCUGGAUUAUUAUGUACCGUAUUUUCACGACCAUAAGGCGCACUUAAAAGUCUUACAUUUUCUCCAAAAUGGACAGGGCGCCUUAUAAUGCGGCGUGCCUUAUGUGUGCACCGAGUUCCAAAAUCUGUAAAUGUUGUUGUGUGACUUUGAUGAAUUUCCUGCCAACACGCUGCUUAUAUAGAGGAAAGGCGGACGUGACUGAGUACAGCAUGCGGACGUUAAAGGGGGAAGGGUGCGCGUGACAGAGGACGCUAAAGGCACGCCCCCAGUAGGUAUAUAGCGCCGGGGUGUGCGUUGUGCAAAACAACAUCGGUUUGGCUAAGGACCCCGAAAACGGCACCUACGAAGAGACACACUUACGAAGCACAGUUUAAACUGCAAGCUAUCAGUUACACGGAGGAACAUGGGAAUCGAGCAGCCGCGAGAGAAUUCAAGAUCAACGAACCCAUGGUUCGCAAGUGGAGGAAGCAGGAAAACGAGCUUCGUCAAGUCAAGAAGACGAAGCCGAGUUUCCGCGGAAACAAGGCGAGGUGGCCCGAGUUGGAAGACCAACUCGAGCAAUGGAUUAUUGAGCAAAGAACAGCCAGGAGAAGCGUCUCUACAGUCACCAUUCGACUGAGUGCAAUAACUCGGAGCUUGCCAUCAUUCUCCAACCACUGGACAUCGGUGUAAACAGGGCGUUCAAAGUGAAGUUGCGAGCGGCGUGGGAGCGAUGGAUGACAUAUGGCGAACACAGCUUUACUAAGACUAGGAGGCAGCGCCGGGCGAGUUACGCCACAAUUUGUGAAUGGAUUGUGGAUGCUCGGGCUAACGUCUGCUUGCACUGUUGUUUGAGCUUUCGUAAAAGCCGGCAUCAUUUCUGAGGAGCCGCAUGGCAACGAGACUGACUCCGACAAUGACGAGAGGGAACCUGGCGUCUUUGAUGGAGAACUUGCCCAGCUGUUCAUUUCGGAUACAGAAGAUGAGGACUUUGAUGGAUUUGUGGAUGAGGAUUGGUCAAAAAAUAACAUUAGUACAUUGUUAAAUACUUCAAUAAAGUACAACCAAACUCAGUUUUGCUCCCGCUGCCUUUUUAGCGUGCAUGCUACCGUAUGUUUUAAGCUAGCAUAUGUUUUACCAUGCCUGCACCCAAUAAUACGGUGCGCCUUAUGUAUGUGUUAAAUACAGAAAUAGACCCCGUAACUGAGACUGCGCCUUUUAAUGCGGUGCGCCUUGUGGUCUUGAAAAUACGGUAUUUCUAAUACAAUUCAGCCUGUGUCAUAUAACACAAAUAUGACAUUGAUAUUUGCCUUUGAGAGCGAAAUUGAAUAUGUUUUGGUACCAUAUAUGUAUAGGAAGCUUACCUUAUUUUCUUUUUAUGAGCGUUGGUGCCUGGCCUCAUUGUCAUUUCCUGAUGUAAAAUACGAAAUUGUUAAUGUUACUUUAUGUCACAAAUUGCGAGGAUAUACUCAAGCAGUCAUGGAAAUACUAAAUAAAAUAAAAUAUCAAAUAAAGAUUACAGAUUAUAUUACAAAGAUCGUUUUGUUUUGACAAAACAGAAAACAAUAGGAUAGUUAGUAGUACAGUAUGCAGGAUUAUACAAAAAUUACAAAACACAUUUUUCAUUAAAAACAAAUUGUCUGAUGAUGCGCUUGCUAUCGGUUUGGCCCAGAAUGAGAUGGCUCGAGGGAACGUCGCCAUUGUAAAAUCUGAAAAUGGCCUGGUUAAACAUGACAUUUUCAACUCAUAAGACUAACAUAUGGGCAUUUUUCAACCAGAAAGUCAAAGAUUUGUCAUAAAUUUCCAAAUGAUUUACAGUGCAUUGAUUGAUUGAUUUACAUUUAUUUCUGGACAAGUAAAUUUGACUGUCCAACCUAACCCCGGAAUCAUGAUGAUACCGCCUGUCUGUUUGUCAUCCUCCAUGAACCAGGAAGUACCCUGCAUUUGACAUUGAAUUGAUAAUGCAUAUGAUCAUUUGUAAAACUAACUCUAAUUGUGGUCUAAGGUUUUUGCACAGUGCUCUAAAUUUCAUGAAUCAAAUUCAGUAAUCAUGUGGAUCUAUGGACUCAUAACACAUGGAUGUUUCCAAAUAUGGUUCCUUCCCCAAUAAAGGGUAUGAGGGUAUAAGUCAUCUGGGCUGUUUUCACUGUGAUGGUUUCAUAAUCAGCCUUGUUUUAUAUGAUUCAAUCUGAUGAGCAGCUGCUUCCUCAUCAAUUGCUCUGAGAGGUGCUUUGCUCCCUUCCCUUUUUUGGCAAACCGUGCGGGAACCCUUGCGGGCUCGUAUGCAGAAAUUUCCAAAUUCCACCAGCACUUGAGCACCUCUCACCAUAGAAAUAGACCUUCCGGAACCCCUCCA